This is a long non-coding RNA of Hemicordylus capensis (graceful crag lizard), 689 nucleotides long. RefSeq lists it as uncharacterized. The record is from RefSeq and is a predicted model, not a curated record. NCBI's taxonomy places the organism in Eukaryota, Metazoa, Chordata, Lepidosauria, Squamata, Cordylidae. The transcript has 3 exons.
CAGUCAGCCAGGAAGGAGGAGGCAGCCAGAGUGGCCACCACUGGUCUCUGCAGCAGAAGACCCCUUGCUGCCCUGCCCAGCCCAGCCCAGCAUUGGCCAGAUCAUGUCUCAAAUGCUGCAGAUCAAGUAAGAAAGAUGCUAGAGCCCUCCCAUCUACUUCAGAGCACGUAUCUGAAGUUGGGCACAGUGUGUCACAGUGUGAGAAAUGAGAAGAAAUGGUCAGCCUGGGGUGUUCUGUCUUUGUGUGGAGAUUUACACCUUAAAGGACUCCAUGUUCAAGGAAAGGAUUGCUGGAGUUCCCUGAGCACAGGGUACAAACUGUCUGAGAACAGCUUGCCUGCAUCUUAGAGCUACUGAGGUCAGGUAACGAAUCUGCUGAUGCCCAGAAGAGAGCCAAACUGAAGUGCAUGUGUAUGAGUUUUAUUAGUUUAUUAAUAAACUAUUCAUGUAUCAGUAUUAAAUUCUAAUAUUAAUACUAAUAGUAUUAUUAAUACUAUUGAAUGCCACUUAUAGCAUUACUAAUUUGUAUUUGUAAUAGUAUUAUUAAUACUAUUAAUAAAUAGUAUUUAUUUAUUAGCCCAUGAAUUCUGGGUACCAAAGGGAAAUCCAGGGAUAAUCGGUGGGUGGCAGGAGGACCAUUUGGCUUGGACUUCAAGCUCAAAGAGGCUUCAGAUUUAGAUAUUUGUUAA